This 120-nucleotide ribosomal RNA is filed under the name Acipenser sinensis (Chinese sturgeon). Lineage: Eukaryota; Metazoa; Chordata; Actinopteri; Acipenseriformes; Acipenseridae. The record is from RNAcentral.
GCCUGCGGCCACUCCACCUUGAAUAAGCCUGAUCUCGUCUGAUCUCAGAAGCUAAGCAAAGUUGGGCUUGGUUAGUACUUGGAUGGGAGACCACCUGGGAAUACAAGUGCUGUAGGCAUU